GCACUGCUGAGGAGUCCCAUAAUAGGACGAAACGGCCCGUCCAGUGC
This 47-nucleotide non-coding RNA is filed under the name Schistosoma mansoni. Lineage: Eukaryota; Metazoa; Platyhelminthes; Trematoda; Strigeidida; Schistosomatidae. The record is from RNAcentral.